GUAGCGAUAUCUUUUGGGUUGUAAAGAUAUGGACAGAAUCAGUGAUUUAUCUGAUGAAUUGCUGAUUAAGAUAUUAACCUCCGUUCCGACAAAACUUGCUGUAUCGACUAGCAUUUUGUCCAAACGAUGGGAGUGUCUUUGGAAGUGGCUGCCUAAACUUGAGUACGAUGAUACAGAUUAUUCAUUGUCUGAAUGUAAGAGGCUGAGGUGUUUUCUUGAUAGAAAUCUGCCAUUACAUAGAGCUCUUGUUAUAGAAAGCUUCCGUCUCCACUUGAAUAAUCAGCAUUUCAAACGUGAAGGUAUCAAACUGUGGCUUCAAUUUGCAGUUUCUCGCUGCCUAAGAGAGCUAGAGGUUUCUUAUUCUAAUCGGAGAAAACGAAAUAUAUCGUUGAGUUGCUUGUAUAACUGCAAAUCGCUUGUGAUCUUGAAACUCAGUGGAGCGAUUCUCGUGGACGUUCCUCGGAUGGUUUCUCUUCCUUCUCUGAAAACAUUGCAACUUCGUGAUGUGACAUACUCAGACAAAAAAUCCCUUCAAAGGUUUCUAUCUAUUUGCCCUGUUCUUGAAGAGCUAUCCGUGGAUUUAGGUGAUGACGAUCAAAUGGGAAAGCUCGCUAUUAGCAUCCGGUCUUUGCAGAGUUUAACACUCAGUGUAGCUUAUGAUUGUGAAGUAGAUGAGCUUGUGAUAGAUACUCCUUCUUUGAAGUAUUUCAAACUCGUGGAUCGGUUUGAUGAUGGUCGCACCUUAUUGGUUGGUAAUAUGCCUGAGCUCAGGGAGGCACAUAUAGAUGUUGAUUACUUUGAUAAUCAUAAUCUUAUCGGAUCAAUCACAUGGGUCAAGCGUCUUACAAUAUCUGCAAAUGUAAGCAGUUUCUAUCUAUCAACUGCAUUUCUUCGAUCUCACUUUAUAUAGAUAUGUAUUCAUGUGUUAAUACUUUUUUUUCAUCUUUAAUUUGCAGCCUUAUUAUGCUUACGCUUUUGUCUUCAACCAACUUGAGCAUUUGAAGCUAUUCAUAGAGAAAUCUUAUUCGUUGGAUCUCCUUGUCCGGUUGCUCAAAGAAUCUCCUAACUUGCAAGUACUAGACCUCUACAAUAUGGAAGUAAGUGUUCCUUGACAAACUAUUAUUUUUUGUCCAUUUCACAAUAUGGUUUAAUCUCAUUUAUUCUGCUUAGAAAAAGUAUCUUAUGUCUGAUGACUUGGAAGCGUGGGAUCAACCUAGUACUGUUCCUGAAUGUAUGUUAUCAAGUCUACGGAUUUUCAGCUGGUCAUUAUACUUUGGAAGACCAGCAGAGAGAGAUCUUGCAGUUUAUAUCUUGGAAAACGCUCGUCUCUUAAAGACUGCAACUAUCUCCUCUAAGAAAUGGUUUGUUCCAAAACUUGAGAUGAUCAAAGAGUUGUCAUUAUCUUCCCGAGCUUCAACCACAUGCCGACUCGAAUUUAAUUGAGGAGCUAAAUCAUUAGAUGUUUUCAUUGAUGUAAUAGGAUUCAGAUUCUUUCAAAUUUUAAUAUUGAGGCUUGAUGGAGACUCCUUAUGUUUUCUUUCCGUUCAAUCUGUUUUUAUUAUUCUUUCUGCCUCUGCCUUUGGUUAUUACUAGUCCUCUGAGUAGCUCAGACAAAAUUUCAAGUCUCUUUACUCACAAAAAAAAAAAGAAAGUCUAUUUACUCUACUGUUAAGGUAACAGAAGAAUCUUAGGGGUUUUGUUUAAGAUCUUAACGUUUUUGGGGUGUUUAAUUGUAUGUUCAGAUCUUAAUUUUUCUUAAUCAGUGUUCCUCAAUGUUUGUUGAUGAGCCUUGUAAGCGUAUAAGAGAGAGAUCUCGCGACAUAUAUAAAUCUUGAUAAACUCUCUCUGAUUAAAGAGUGCAACAAUCUUGAUUGGAUCAGAGAUGGAUCCACAAUAAAACGCUAAAUGUCUUAAUAUCAAACCCAUAAAGAAAAAAAUUAAGACUAGUUAGUAAUAUAAAUAUAGAGUUAACGUUCUGAUCCAACGAAAUCUCCAUAGAUGAAACUUUUUUUUGUGGGAGUCCAAUCAUGGGUUUUAUAGAUUGCAUGUUCCAAACAAACCAUGCAGAAAUGUUCACUAGAAAAGAUCAUCAAAAUGACUUAAAACCAAAAACCCUAAAUAUUAGUCAUUGUGCUUUUAGGUGGGACGUGUCUCAAUGAAAAAAGUAUUUGAUAUUAUUGCACUAUCUUGCUCAUUACCUAUCCCCUUCUUUAAUGUUUUUUUUAGAGUUUGUGUGAAGUUUUAUCUCAGGAUAGUCCAGUUAAUCUAAUAUAUAAGCUAUAAAAUAAAAGUCACGGAUGAAUUAAAAUUGUUAAAAAAAAUUUUUACAUAAUCUGAAUUUUUUUUGCUCGAACAUAAUCUGAAAUUUCAAAUUCAAAACUAAACAAAACACUGCAGAAGACUUAAAAAAAAAAAACAACUCUGUAAUGAAAUCGAAUAAUUAUAGGUCAUCAUCAAUUACAAAUGAAGCUGUGCGACCUAAGACUUAGCCCAAAAUGUUUAUAUCUGCAAAUUCCACUAUUCUACUUUUGGCUAAAACAAUUCCACUUAUCCAUAAAUUGAUAAUAGAUUACAAGAAUUUUAAGAAUCGGAAUAGUCAGCGGCGGAGGUAGCAGAGGAAGAGUGGGGUCCAGUGCCUCCUAGUUUAUAUUUUUUUAAAUAUUUAAGCAAAUUUAAUUAAAAAAAUUAUUUUAAUGGAAAAAAGUGGUAAAAAAAGUUUUUUGCUCCAACUAAUUUUUAUUCUAGAUUUGUCAUUGGAAAUAUGAGUAUGAAUAAUUAUAACAAAUGACCAUCCCGACAAGACUAUUUGCAAAAAUGAUCAAGAGCAGCAGACGACACUGUUCAAUUUUUUUAAAUACCCUUUAGCCCCUACUCAUCUAUGCGACUACCUACACUAUAGAGGAAAUUUUGUCAGAUUCCCCAAAAAUAAAAUAUUGAUUAUAAUCUAGACUUUGUCCCUACGUGGCAUUAAUUUGGGAAAUUAUUCAAUUGUAACACCUUUUCAAACCAAAAAUUCAUCUGGUGUUUAUCUUUCUGGCAACAGAACCGACGUUUACAAAAGACAUCAUUUCACAUAUUUUUUAUCGGCUCUGGAGACUGUACAAAUUUCGAAAUCGGGUGAGUGCUCCUUUAACCAAGAUGGAACCAUUGCUGCCGAAGAGAAUAUCGCCGCUAGCGAAGAACCAGGCGGCAAGAGAGUUAAUUGCUAUCACCAGUAUGAUAAGUGUGCAUCUAUCUGAAUUGGUUGCACACUGGUAUAGUCACCUGAUUUCUCCAUCAUUGAUCAAAUUAAAUUUCUUUUCUGGUUUUUUUUUAAGGAAAAACAACUUCGUAUUCAACUGUUAGAACGAUGAUGAUCCUAUUAGAUUGAUGCUAACGUAUAUAAUAGUGUGUAUUUAUCUGAAUUACUUUUAUAAUUUUAUUGUUAGACUGCUAACAAUAUAUAUAGAGUGUUAUAUAUAUUUGUAGCGUACUAACUACAAAAAUAACAUCUAUAACAAUCUAGAUAAUUUAUUAUUGUUAUCAAUCUAACAUAUUUUUUACCAUGUUAACUAUAAGGUUAGACAUUAAUUUAUAUGUUACGUGCUAAAUAUAUCAAUAACAUCUUUAAUCAUUUAUAUAACUCAUUCUUGUUAGCAAUUUAACAUAUUUUUUAUCUAGUAAAUUAUAAUGUUGGACGUUAAUUUAUAUGUAACAUGCUGAGUAUAUCAAUAAUAUCUUUAAUCAUCUAUAUAACUCAUUAUUGUUAUCAAUCUAACAUUAUUUUUAUCGUGUAUAUAAUAAUUGUUAAUCUAUAUCAAAAUAUGUAACUUGUUAUUAUAAUGUAUAUGAUACGUCUAGGAAAAAAAAUUUGUGUGGCUGUAAUUUCUUGCAUAAAGAUAUUGCCUACUCUACUUAUAUUUUAGUUCCCUAUAGAUUGUACCAUACUGUCAGAACCUGCUGUUCAUGUUAAGCUUCGGUAAAAUAUCUGGGGGUAAGAUUGUCAUUACUGAUGACCAUGAACACAGUGAUAACAAUUUUUGGUGGACCCUUGGUCAUGCAGCUAAUUUCGUUCCCUAUUUGGUAUAUUCACCUAAUUCACUCGAAUUAACAAGAGUACAAAAAAAUUUUAAUAAAAAAAUGUUAGUAAUUUGAACUUUUAUUUAUUUAUUUUUAAAUCAAAAAGAAAAAAAAAUGCUUGCUGAAAAGUAAAUUUGAGUAUUUAUCAAUAUCUACCGUCGGAUAGUAUCAAAAUGAAUUGGGCUAUUAGUACUGAAAAGGCCAGAUUGGCGUAGAGCCAGGCCCAAGCCCAUGGCCACCACCUGAGACCAUGUUCGUCUUUUCUUCUUCCCAUUUCUGCAGUCUACUAUCAGUAUCUAUUCAGAAUUGAAAUGGCUAUAGAGUAGUUGUUGACAUUUGCUUCGACAGAUGUUCGGACGCUUUUGAAUUGUCUUCUGAUUCCGGUUCCAGAGUGAAAAUCGAACUCUACAGGUAAAAUUCUCAUUACCUAACAAUCCAGCUUUUUUUCUAGGGUUUUGCUGUCACGUUCCUCUUUGGUGUCUGUGUUUUCACUUGUUAAUAAUUCGUUUGGUUGGCUUUUAGGAUCUGAAAGAUGUCUUUUUUUCUUUCUUUUAUCAGGUAGCGAUAUCUUUUGGGUUGUAAAGAUAUGGACAGAAUCAGUGAUUUAUCUGAUGAAUUGCUGAUUAAGAUAUUAACCUCUGUUCCGACAAAACUUGCUGUAUCAACUAGUAUUUUGUCCAAACGAUGGGAGUGUCUUUGGAAGUGGCUGCCUAAACUUGAGUACGAUGAUACAGAUUAUUCAGUGUCUGAAUGUAAGAUGUUAAGGUGUUUUCUCGAC
This 4837-nucleotide long non-coding RNA is filed under the name Eutrema salsugineum. Its description in RNAcentral is "long non-coding RNA (ESAL_LNC000105)". The record is from RNAcentral. Lineage: Eukaryota; Viridiplantae; Streptophyta; Magnoliopsida; Brassicales; Brassicaceae.